ACUGCUGUUAAAUCAUCGGUUGCGUGGACCAGCGGGCCCAAAGCUUUUGCAGGCCACACUCCAAGCUCCUCGCCUUCGGUGCCUUCCAAUGGCGGACAAUGAGUGUCUUGUUGUCGGUGAUUGUGGAUCGAAACUUGUCUACUGCUCUCGAAACAUUCUCACGGUUUGGGCUUUGCGUUGUGCUUCUUGUUUCCUAUUCGUCUUCUCUUCCUGCAAUCCAGGAGGUGGCAGAGCUGUACCAAUUUUUCAUAUAAAUAGUGAAGAAGAUACAUCUGAAAAUGGUGUACUACAAAAGAAGAAUCUUAUCCGAAAAACAAAGGCUCCUCUGUUCCUCUGUAUUAAUUGGGGCACCUGGUACUAUGCUUUUGCUUUGCUUUGCCUGCAUGAACAAUGACCACAAGCUUAUAAGCAGAACUCGUAAUUUUCACAUUUGGUAAUAAUUUUCAUCUUUCAAAAGUCUGUGGGCUGAGGCAAAUUUUGAAAACCCAGCACCUCCUCCCCUUGUCGCCAAUUCAGGGGAUGACUACUGGUCAUAUAGGAUUUUCUAGCAUAGCAUUCUAUCCUUUAUGCAUGUAAUGAUAAACUGAGGAGAUGGACCAUGAGCUAUGAAUGUGCAGAUGCAAUGAAAAGGUUUUUAUUUUAUUUACAUAAUUCGUAGCAUGGUUGCUUGAAUGCAGGAUCAUCAGUUGGUGCUGGAGGCUCUAGACCGAAUAUCAUCUCGCAACUCAUAUCAUCAAAGUCUGCAACAAAUAUUAUGAUCAUCAUCAAUGUCUAUUAAACAACUCUAGUUGCAGUUAUAUUGCAGCUAUUCAACUAAUUAUAGACUUUUGUGUUAUUAUACAUAGGCUCUUUUUGGAAGAAUGACUGGCUUCAUGAGAGCAGAAGAAUUCAGUGUCUUUCAACUACAUGGGGGCUAUAUGGCACUUGGGAUCAAUCUGUAUAUUUACAGGCAGGAAUAUAGGUAUUACUCAUAUUGUUAUUUCAGAUAUAUGUUCAGUUUGUUUCUUAUAUGUAGCUUUGUUCCCUUAAUGGUUUAUACAUGGGGCCCUUGUUGACAUGAUGAGCAUGGCCUCCACAUUCUAGUGCAGGUACUAUUAUUCAAUGGAGAAUGAUUCUGUUUCCUUCUCUUCUGUCCUUGUAAUUAUUUUUUCAUAAUAUUUCCUUUAAGAGAAAAUUUGGAUUAUUUUUUCUUUGUAGGGACAACUUGAUACUAGUUCAUUCUAUUGUCGUUGUACCUUGUGGAUCUUCUUAAAAUAACAAAAAUUGUGUUCUAGAAAAAUGUCAUUUUUUGCCAUAGGAAUGUUUCCACCAUAAGUAGACAGGACUAACAAUAGGUUGCCAAUUCAUGUUAUUCAUCUCUUCUUUUUUUGUUUUUUUUUUGAGGAAAUGUUAUUCAUGGUUAAAAAGGUCAUGUCAACAGAACAUAUUAAUUGUUAUACCCACAAUCCUAACUCACCCUGUUUAAAAAUCAUGGCAUCAUUUACAAAUUCAAACCAGAUCUUCAUUAAAUGGAUUAAGUUAUUUAAACCUUUUUUGACUUAUUUUCGAAUAAGCUAGAUUAAUAAGUAAAUGAACUCAAAUCCAAUUUGAUACAUUUAACCCCUUUAUAAAAUAGUUAAUGUGUAUUUACUAAAAAUACACUAUAGUUUAAAUGUUUGGUUUAUUUAUUUAUUAAACAAUUAAAAGAGUACAAAAAACAUUAUGAUUAUAAAAUACUAAAGUAUACAAACAUCACAUAUAAAAGGUAAGUUACUCCAAACUAUAUAAACAGAAGAUGUAAUUUAAAAGAUGCAUCAUUGAACAAAGAUAAACAAAAAAUUAAUUAAUAAAUAUUAAUGUCAUCACCAUCAUCAUGAUCAUAUCACCUUAUUAUAUUUGUUUAAUAAGUCAUUAUUUAUUGUAUGCUUAUUUCAAAUUUAACAUUUUCACACUGUCAAACUAGUUUAAAUUAUUCCAAGGAACAGGUUAUGCGAGUUUAACUUUUUUAGGCAUGAUUCUUCUCGUGUAUAAAUAGAUUUAACUAUAUAUGAUCGUAACCUAUUUGUGCCGUGUAAGAUUUAGGUUUUCUUCAUUUAUUUUGAAGAACCAACAAUACAAAUUGAUGCCAAAAGGUGUGGAAGAAUUCUCACACUUGAACCAUGGUCAAUUAAUGGUUUCUGUGUACUUACCAGGGACCAUAUUUACUGGCAUACCCAGUGAGUCCUUAAUGAAGGCUUGUGAUGGUAUCUUGCACAAAUUGGUGCACAUUCCUACACAGUUGGUCUGCUCUAGAAACCUGCAAAAUUAGAGUGAGAAUAUAAGAGAAUGAUAUAAGGCUGAUCUAAGAUGAGAGGAAUGUUAAUGAUGAUUUUGGGAUUAUGGUUAUUCUGAUGAUAAUGAUGAGUGUCAUGAUAACAAAGCAAUAGAAAGAAGAGAGUCCAGCAGCAGCACAAUCAUUGAAGUAGGUUAUUUCAUAAGUUGGUGAGUGGGACCCUAUUUUUGAGUUAGCAAUGUAGGGAUAAAUUUAAAGAAAAUGUUAAAGUUACCUGCAUUUCUUUAUGUGCACUACAUUCUUUUCCAUUCUUCCAUCGAGCUCCGAUUCCCUCACCUGAGAUCACUCCGGUUGAGAUCAUUUACAAUUUACUUGAAAUAACUGGAGUGCACUAUUACGCAUUUAGAUACGUUGCUCUCAAAGAGUUGAAAGUAGCUUCAACAAAUCAUACCACUCCAUAGUGGUUAGGUUGGCUGUUACCUUAUUAAUAUAGUUGAUUAGUGGCCAAAGAAAUAUUCUGAGUAAUUUACUUGACAAAUGAGAGCUUUCCCAUGCAUAAUUCCUCUAGUAAGAAAACUUGCUUUUCAAGGAGGGGAGGGAUGCAUCGCCUUUCAAGGAUGAUUUGGUGUGAGUUUGUUAUAUUAAGCAUAUGUACUGAACUUUAAAAAAUUCCAAGAUUGACAAUUAUAGGUGGUGAAUCCUGUACUAUGCAUAAAAAAAUCCUGAUUUGAGAAAAUAUGUAAACAUGAGUGUUAUGAUGUUGGAAUUCUGCACACUAAAUAAUGUCUCUCACUGUAUCCUGCUAUCCUUGUUAAAUUGUAUCUAUCCAUGUCUCCUCAUUGGGAUGUUGUAUGAGAAAUCAGGAAAGAUUGAAUAGGCAGGGGAUGAAAGGGGUUUAAGGUUGGGGCUAAGAACUCAAGGGUGAAGAGGGAGGAACUACGUCGAGAAGAACAGAGAAAGACUUAAUCAGCAAUGCAUUCAUUUUAAUGUCAGUUAAGCCUAUUUGCAGGCUUUGCAUUCCUGUUGUCUAUGGCUUCUGCAACUUUGUCUGCCGGCCUUGUAAGAACGGCAAAAAUGGGAGAGCAUUUUGGUUUGAGUAUACGCCGCCUGCCGUAUAGAGCUGGAAGAGGACUUAUACCCUGCAUGGAUAGCUUGGCUUCCAUAUCUGAUCCAGACGUGAGAGAAGGGAGAUUUGGCGGUUUGAUUUGAAUGGUAAUAAUCGAAAUUAGCAAUAUGCAUAGAGUAUAACAGGGACAAGUAGAAAUAGAAUAUAACAACUAAGAGUGCAUGGAGACGAUGAUAUCAAAGAGUAUUAUUACGAGGAAUCUUUAGCACCAGUUAAGACAAAGAGAGUCUCUCAUGAGCUCGGAGAUGCUUUUUGUUGGUAUUAUGUGUUGUGUGUAUGUAAUAUAUCUGAGAAUACUAUAACCUCCAAAA
Non-coding RNA from Carica papaya (papaya), 3688 nucleotides. Lineage: Eukaryota; Viridiplantae; Streptophyta; Magnoliopsida; Brassicales; Caricaceae. The record is from RefSeq and is a predicted model, not a curated record.